GACACACUGUGCAUAUGGCCUGCUAAACAUAUGCUCACGGUAAGGUGUACCACAUGUUCUAAAGUAGAAUUCUAUGGCAGAUUUGGGUUCAGUUUUCAUGCCAUUAAGCACCAACUGAAAAGAAAUGGCCACGAAAGUGUCUAUUGGGGGGAAAAAAAGUAUAUUUGAUAUGGACUCAGCAGACAGUGUUAAUUUGUUUUCUCGCAUUUGUAAAAUUCAAUAGUAUAACAAAAUUUCAGCCCAGCAUUCUACAUUCCUGGAAUCUCAUUAUAGCUGGACUGCAG
Molecule: non-coding RNA, 284 nt
Organism: Pelobates cultripes (western spadefoot toad)
Lineage: Eukaryota; Metazoa; Chordata; Amphibia; Anura; Pelobatidae
Source: the annotation of a GenBank genome assembly